GCGGGAGUGCCCGAGCUAAGCCAAAGGGGCCGGACUGAGGCUCCGGUGGCGUAGGCCUGCGUGGGUCCAAAUCCCACCUCCCGCA
RNAcentral lists this transfer RNA (85 nucleotides) under Sulfuracidifex metallicus. RNAcentral describes it as "tRNA-Leu". It matches the Rfam family "tRNA". Rfam says of the family: Transfer RNA (tRNA) molecules are approximately 80 nucleotides in length. Their secondary structure includes four short double-helical elements and three loops (D, anti-codon, and T loops). Further hydrogen bonds mediate the characteristic L-shaped molecular structure. tRNAs have two regions of fundamental functional importance: the anti-codon, which is responsible for specific mRNA codon recognition, and the 3' end, to which the tRNAs corresponding amino acid is attached (by aminoacyl-tRNA synthetases). tRNAs cope with the degeneracy of the genetic code in two manners: having more than one tRNA (with a specific anti-codon) for a particular amino acid; and 'wobble' base-pairing, i.e. permitting non-standard base-pairing at the 3rd anti-codon position. Lineage: Archaea; Thermoproteati; Thermoproteota; Thermoprotei; Sulfolobales; Sulfolobaceae. The record is from RNAcentral. RNAcentral also lists the same sequence under 2 other names.